AUUAAAUUUUAGAUGUAUCUUUAAAUAGGUUUGGGUCUACCCUACCUCUCUAGUGGAUGACUGCCCCACCCAUGGAUAACCGGCUUCUGAUGAGAGGAUGCUCUUACACUUUAGUUGUACAGGCUUUGUACCUUUGUGGAGUCAAUCAUUAAGAUUUGGGACAGGUGUUAUGCCCUAAAAAAAAAAACACAAAAUGUUACAUGGAGGAGGGGAGGUAAUUUCAGAAUACCUCCUUGUAUCACAAAGAGGGAAGGAGAGAACCAAAAACCUAUAAAAAUUGAUCACGAGAUUAAUGGACGGCCCCUAACAUGCAAGUAGUGAAAGUAUCCUUUUGUUGGGACUCAAACUGCCUCACGUCUACGUACAGGACCCAUGUGACGUUCCUGAGUCGACCACUCUAAUUGCAUUGCCAUUGGAUUACUUGAAGACCGUCUUGAAGAAUUAGCGGCUUGCUGUUUUAUCCUAAGCCUGAACAGGCAAUAAUAGACACAAUAAUAUAAUAAUAAGAAUACAC
Long non-coding RNA from Ctenocephalides felis (cat flea), 514 nucleotides. RefSeq lists it as uncharacterized. Lineage: Eukaryota; Metazoa; Arthropoda; Insecta; Siphonaptera; Pulicidae. The transcript is spliced from 3 exons. The record is from RefSeq and is a predicted model, not a curated record.